This 93-nucleotide transfer RNA is filed under the name Ipomoea nil (Japanese morning glory). It matches the Rfam family "tRNA". From Rfam's summary of the family: Transfer RNA (tRNA) molecules are approximately 80 nucleotides in length. The record is from Rfam by way of RNAcentral. Lineage: Eukaryota; Viridiplantae; Streptophyta; Magnoliopsida; Solanales; Convolvulaceae.
UCGACCUUAGCUCAGUUGGUAGAGCGGAGGACUGUAGUUUGAUUAAUCUAGGUUGGAAUCCUUAGGUCGCUGGUUCGAAUCCGGCAGGUCGGA